GGGUGGCUGAAGGCCCAGCCGGCUGCCUGCUGGCACAGCUGGGGUCUGUCACCGUCUGCAGGGACUGCGAGGUGUCCUCAGCAAACAGUGAAAUGCCCGGCUCCCCACGAAGCAGCGUGAGGGUGCUGAGUUCAGAAAGCCAGUGACAUCUUGUUGCUGCUGGGUGAGAGGCCGGUGGAGCCCCUGGCGUGGCCCUGGCUGCCCACGGUCUGUCUGGGGCUUGCAGGGUACCACAGCAUGAUAGAGCUUGUGGCAGCGCGUGUUACCUGUUUUACUGCUGUUUUUUUCCCCAGAGCUUUGAAGGAGACAAAGAGGGCUUUAUUUCAGCUCCAAGCCAAAUACUUGAGAGAAAAAUAUCAUCCCCGCCGUUUUCCCGUACUGCAGGAAAAGCAGAGGCAGGGAGAACUACAGGCCACAUACUAUAUGGAAAUAAAUACUAGUUAUAUGUGGACACCUUUGCUGAAGUUGCUAAGGAGCAGAGCUAGCAAUUUCCUUCUCAAAAUCCAGAUAUAUCAAACAACAUAAAUUUAAAAGAUACCGUUUUGGAGCCUGCAUAAUUUCUGGAGAAAAUGUGGAUUUAAGGCACACGUUCUUGAUUAAGGUGUUUAAGAGAAUAUGAAGAACUUCCUGCAGUCUGGACUUUUGCUUCAGAGAGGCUGAGGAUUUGGAAAGUACAUUUUUGUACCCCAGAAUGAAAACAUGCUAGUAGAGCUAUGCACAGUAUGUUUAUAUUCUGCACAGGAAUUCAUUGUGUUUAUAAUAAUCAAAUUGACAUCUAUGUUUUCAGUGACUACUUGGAUGAAAUAAAGAAUGAAGUGUUA
Molecule: long non-coding RNA, 821 nt
Organism: Falco peregrinus (peregrine falcon)
Lineage: Eukaryota; Metazoa; Chordata; Aves; Falconiformes; Falconidae
Exons: 4
Source: RefSeq, a predicted model, not a curated record